AUACUUUGGUUUCUCUUCAAAGCGUAUAAAUCUUUCGCCUUUUACUAAAGAUUUCCGUGGAGAGAAACAACAGAAGGCCUUCUUUGCCUCAGUUUUCAACAGUAAG
Small nuclear RNA from Pogoniulus pusillus (Red-fronted tinkerbird), 106 nucleotides. RefSeq annotates it as U5 spliceosomal RNA. The transcript has a single exon. NCBI's taxonomy places the organism in Eukaryota, Metazoa, Chordata, Aves, Piciformes, Lybiidae. The record is from RefSeq and is a predicted model, not a curated record.